AUACGAAAGGUGCAAGCGUUGUUCGGAUUUACUGGGCGUAAAGAGAGUGUAGGUGGUUUAUUAAGUCGGGUGUGAAAUCCCGGGGCUCAACCUCGGAACUGCAUUCGAUACUGAUAGGCUAGAGUUUGGGAGGGGUAAGCGGAAUUCCGUGUGUAGCAGUGAAAUGCGUAGAUAUACGGAGGAACACCUGAGGCGAAGGCGGCUUACUGGACCAAUACUGACACUGAGACUCGAAAGCGUGGGUAGCAAACAGGAUUAGAUACCCCUGUAGUCC
Molecule: ribosomal RNA, 274 nt
Filed under: uncultured bacterium
Lineage: Bacteria
Description: partial 16S ribosomal RNA
Rfam family: Bacterial small subunit ribosomal RNA
Source: RNAcentral